Long non-coding RNA from Colossoma macropomum (tambaqui), 375 nucleotides. RefSeq lists it as uncharacterized. The record is from RefSeq and is a predicted model, not a curated record. Lineage: Eukaryota; Metazoa; Chordata; Actinopteri; Characiformes; Serrasalmidae. The transcript is spliced from 3 exons.
AAGACUCUCUAACACUCCUUACUAAGACAGCGCCGCCUGCCGGGUGACGCUUUCAGCUCCCAGAAACGAGGAUUUUCAGCUGCGUAGCUGACUGAGGUUAACUGACUGGACCGAGUGGAGCGGCGACUGGAGUCACGACUGAAACGGUCAGAGUCUGCUUUUAAAAGAUGUUUCUCAUCAGAAAUCAUCUGAAGCUGAGCAACUGGAACAUCCUCUCUUUGGGCCUCAUUCAGUACGGUGGCAGUCCAUAUCAUUCUCAACACUCAACUGUGCUCUUACCCAAGUGGCCUCAUCCUGGUGCUUCUUUCAUUACACUGAACAUCAUUGUCUGAACAUCAGCUAUGUGUGUGAGCUGGGUGCCACGCUGGAGUUCAU